GACGAACGCUGGCGGCGUGCUUAACACAUGCAAGUCGAACGAAGAGCGAUGGAAGCUUGCUUCUAUCAAUCUUAGUGGCGAACGGGUGAGUAACGCGUAAUCAACCUGCCCUUCAGAGGGGGACAACAGUUGGAAACGACUGCUAAUACCGCAUACGAUCUAACCUCGGCAUCGAGGAAAGAUGAAAGGUGGCCUCUAUGUAUAAGCUAUCACUGAAGGAGGGGAUUGCGUCUGAUUAGCUAGUUGGAGGGGUAACGGCCCACCAAGGCGAUGAUCAGUAGCCGGUCUGAGAGGAUGAACGGCCACAUUGGGACUGAGACACGGCCCAGACUCCUACGGGAGGCAGCGGUGGGGAAUCUUCCGCAAUGGACGAAAGUCUGACGGAGCAACGCCGCGUGAGUGAUGACGGCCUUCGGGUUGUAAAGCUCUGUUAAUCGGGACGAAAGGCCUUCUUGCGAAUAGUGAGAAGGAUUGACGGUACCGGAAUAGAAAGCCACGGCUAACUACGUG
Molecule: ribosomal RNA, 510 nt
Filed under: uncultured bacterium
Lineage: Bacteria
Description: partial 16S ribosomal RNA
Rfam family: Bacterial small subunit ribosomal RNA
Source: RNAcentral